Molecule: non-coding RNA, 4378 nt
Organism: Lonchura striata (white-rumped munia)
Lineage: Eukaryota; Metazoa; Chordata; Aves; Passeriformes; Estrildidae
Source: RefSeq, a predicted model, not a curated record
GGACUGUAUAUAAAAUCAUAUUGUGGAACUUUCUCUACCUUAAGAUUAUUGUGCAAUCUUAGAACUUGCGUUGAGGCUUUAAUUUUUUUUGUGGUUGUCAGUCCAUGAGUUUUUGAAACAGGAACCACACAAUGAUUUCUGAAUUCCCAGUGAUAUAGGAGCUACUCUUCUAAAAUCUGCAUCAGCUUCUGACCAAACUUUCACUUCUGCUUCAGCUGGGAUGUUUUACCCUCACUUUGAGCUAUGUGUACUAUAAAUGUUUCCUAGUUCCAAAUGGGAAGCAUCCGUCCCAUUUCUGGGCCAAAUUUUCAUGGUCCUUUCAAAUGUGUACUAUAGAAACCAAAUAAAACUCCUGCCCAACACCCACAGAAGAAAUCAGCUUGGAAAGGUUUCUGACAGUGUCCUCCAUGGAAAGAUUUUAUAUAAUUUAAAAUAGUUUAAGUCUAGUUUUGUAUUCUCCUGUUCAUGGCUUGCUGUUUUAAAGACCUGUUAUUUUUAAGGCUCCAUACCAGUGUUAAUCAAUUUUAGCUGCAUGUCCCCAGAUAGUGUACGAAGACAAUAUAUUUAUACUUUUAUUUGUCGAAGAAAGCUCUAUGCCAAACCAAGAUCUUAAUAAUCAGGCAGUGCUUGGGUGGGGAUUUUUUUUGUUUAGCUGUGUUUGUCCUGGAGAUUGUUAGGAUGAAGUAUUUGUUUAAAAGAAACAAAAUGAAAAUGAGGGUCUAUAGCCAAGUUUUCAAAUUAUCCUCUUGCUCACUGGCAGUCGCUGAGACAGGAAAAGUAAUGGCUAGUGAUUUAAAAAUCCUUCGUGCUCUCAUUUUUUGGCAUUUGAGCUCCUAAGAGUGUCUGGCCUUUUUCCUGCAUCCUGAGAUUAGCUGAAGCCCUGAUUUUGUGGGGAUUUUUUACGAUCUACACAGUCCAAAAUGACAAAACUGGUUGGGAAGUUUUUAAGAACUUUUUUUGCAAAGGAAUCUCCCUCGAGAUGUUGGCCACCUUGAACCAUUCUUGACUUCAAAGAGUGUUGAUGAUUGAGUUUCACACAGGCAUAUCAUUCCAGAAACAGCCCUCAGUCUGGGGAGGUGCACUUUCAUUAGGUUGUGAACCUCUCCUGACAUUUCUUCUCCAUGAGUCUCAAUUGUUCCUAAUCCUGUGUUUAACUUUCCUGCGAACUUUGGUUUGGCAGAGGAAUGUAUUUGCUUGUUUGGGGCAGGCUGGGUUUUACUGCUUUGCUUGGAUUUUGUAGUGUUCUUCAAAAUCAGAGUGACUUACUUGGGAAUCUUGCCAGUGUUUUAGACUUCAAAUAGCAAUAGUAAGAUUUGUGUGCUCAUUUGAGGCUUACAUAAAGCUAAAGCUAAUAUUUGUGGGCAUGAUUAAAUGUGUUUGGUAUUUUGGAGGGGAGGGAUGUAUCUAGCUUAUGAGUUAUGCUUGCUGCCUUGUGGGGAUUUUUAUGAAAUGUAGCAGCAGCUCAACAGGUUAUCUAGCAGAGGGAGAGUUAAUGCAUAAUGCUGAUACUCAUAAAUCAGGAGAUUAAUGCCUGCCUUACACCUCUUAAUAAAAACAGCAGAGAACAACAAUCUUAUCAACAUACAUGUAAUCUGUAAACAAGUGUUGUAGUCAAAUACAAACAGAUUUUUAUCAUUAUCCUGCUCCAAACCAUGUGACUUUGCAGUGAAGUAUUGCAGGAGAUGCGUUAAUACCCGUUUGACAACAGUUGCAGCCAAAAAAAAAAAAAAAAUCUUUAAUGCUAACAUGAGCAAGAUAAUUGGGAUUUGUGGGGAAGUGAAUGUCCAGAUUUGAACUUUUGAACUGCCAAGCAUUAAAGGCUGUUGAUUCCUCUCAGUAACUUCUACAGGCUGCUUGUAAUUUUUUUGUGAACAUCCAGACUUAAGGAAAAAGUGGAAUGUGCUAAAUCUUCCAAUUAAUAGAGAUAGCACUGAUGCAUCAAUUAGCAAGCUGAUCACUUCUUGUCCUCCUGCACAGAAACUGUUUUCACAGAGUCACAGAAUGGUUUGGGUUGGAAGGGACUUUAAAACUUAUCCAGUUCCAUUUGCCCUGCCAUGACCAAGGACACCUUCCACUCGACCAGGUUACUCAAAGAUCCACUGAAAAAUAAUACAUUUGUGGCCUCCGAAGAGGAAGCUGAAAAUAUUUUUCUGGAAAGAAAUUAUCUUGGAGAAAAGGAAAAGAAGACUUAAAAGGAAGAAAAUGAAGAGGAAAGAUCUGGGAGUUGAAACAAGUUGUGGAGGACUUCCUGAGGAAGAUAAGCAGAGAUAAAUAUUGGCAAGUGCCUGGAGACCUCAACUGGUGAUGCCCAAGAUGUGUAACUGUGAGCAGUGGCACAGGAUGGACCAGCCUAACCUCUGCCCCACACCAGGAGUGUGGAGACCUUGUGAAUGUAGCCUGAGUGUAGUAUGUGAGCUGUAAAGGAAGGUAAAACUGAAUUUCCUUCCUUUCUAAAUAACCCCUUACCUCUCUGUAAACAGUCUGCUGAAAUGUGAGCAGAUAUCCAAGCCCAUUUAUAUUUAUAUUAUUUAUAUUUAUAUUAUUUAUAUUUUUAUGUAUAAGGUCAUUCUUUAGGUGGGGGUAUGCAGCAUUUGCCAAAGCACAAAUGAAUUCUGGUUCCUAGAUUUAAACAUGUCAUGGACAGACACACAUGAUGUACAGGCUCAGAGAUAGUGUGGGAUGACAGUAGUUCCAUAAAUGCUGCUUACAGUAGGCUGUGGGACUGUAAGCAGCAAUGUAAUCAUAUGUAUUUUCCAGAGGAGAUGGCUGUCUUUUUAAUGCCAGUCCACUUCUAAAAAGCACAAAUAAGCUCAAAACACUUGGAAUUAAAUGGUACUCUGUGAAGAGUAGGUAGGAUUCAUUACACACAUUCCUAAUUAGGUCUUAGAGCAGAAAUUAUUUUGCAUGGUAUUAAAUAACAUGUUUUGCUUUGAACUCUCAAACCUCACUCUAAUCACCUUCCAGCUUUCUUGGGUACUCUUGGGUUCAAACUAAACCCCCCUCUUUUUCCUCAAAUAAUCCAUCAAGUGUUGUUAGCUGGGGGAAGAGAGUCCUCAGAGAAGCGAGUAAGUUGGUAGCAUAAUUGGUUUCCUCUCAAAAAUGUGUAUGAAUGAAGAUAGUUGCAGCUGCUAGUGAGUACAGAGAUAAACUUUCCAUGCUUUAAGUCUUUUGAUAAGUAUUUGUGUAUGUGUUUUGCGGCUAACCCGUUUUAAGGGAAAAAAACCUCAAUAAAUUAGAUAUCUCUACAUCCUAAAAAAGCAAACGUGAACUCUUAUUAAAAGUAAAACAAAUUAUAAACUUUCUUAAAUUGCUUGAUAUGAAAGACAUGAAAAAGUAGGUAAAACACUGGUCUGCAUCCUGAAGCCAGAAUAAAGGAUGAUGAGUGGAGGGAAGUUUCUACAUAAAGGUAAUAAAUCAUUUUCCUUCUGAUCUUCUCAGGGCUUUGAAACUCCUCCUGGCCAUAGGUCCUUCUCCUCCAGCAGGUUCUCCCUAUAGCCUUCAUCACUGAUCAUUUGGGAAGUUAGACUGGAUGUCUCUCUUCUCCUUUCCCCAUCUUCUCACCAUCCUUAGUCCAUCUUCUUCUCCAAAUAUUAAUUGGAAUUAAUUUUAAAUCACAAAUCUCAGCAGAAUGCACAUGACAGACCCCUAAGUGUUGCCCUUUAGGAUGGCUUGGAUGUAUAGUAGCUGUAUUAACCCAGCAAGCAGGGGAAAAUAACCUUGUAAAGACAGUUCAGGCACUGAGCAGAACCAUUUGGUCUCCAGUCAUACGUGUGGAGCUCUCAAGCUAAAAUAUAAAAGUCACAAAAUGUUACAGCUUCAGGUCAUCAAAUCUCAGUGGUGCCUGAGACACUGAACAUUCAAAGCGAAACGGCCAUUAAAAGCAGACCAGCAUCAGCUCUGAGACCACUAAACUAAGAGAUGACACAAAGGGAAGAAAAUCUUUAUGCAGAAUCUCAUUGAAUUGAUGAGCUUACACAGAGCAGUAACAGGCAAUGUAUGGCUUUAUGUGCCUAAAGUGUUUUGUAAAACCCAACCAUCUAUGCGUGCAUGUUUAGUAUAUCCAAGAUACAUUCCAGAGAAUACUUGUAACAAAACCCCUGUUCCUGUGCUCCCUAACACCUUUGUCCCCUGGGUUCCACCGUGCUGUUGAGUUGAAGCCUUUUUUUUCGUCACAUCUUGAUUAAUACUAGGUGCUAAAAGCAAAUUGGUGAUAACUGCUGCUCAUGACAGCUCUUGUGCAAGCUCUUGCCAAUGGCAGCACUGGUUCUUUUCUGUUCUUACCUGCAGCAGCCUUCAUAUUUUAAUCAUGGGCCCCAAGCAGAAAUUGUCAAUUAGAUUGAGCCUUGUGGUUGUCUUUGAAUAAAUGUUCUUUAGCAGA